GAGCUUUUCCAGAGGAAGGGCUGAUGAGAAGAGUCGCAGCUGAAUAGUGAGAGAAAAAGCCUGGUAUUUAUUGCUUUUGUUUGGCUUUUGGCUACAGAGACAGGAACCUUCUAAUGGGCACAGUCUUUCUGUAAUUCAAAACUCAGUCUGCAAACCAACGGAAAGGAGAGGAGGAAGCUAGAAGAGUUGCACAGACCACUUAGGCCCUGGCAGUGGGCAGAUGGGACCAGUGCCUAAGACAGCAGCAUUGUCUGAGAGGUACAGAGGGAAAACUGACUAUUGGUUGGUAAAGAAGAGGAGGGUCUGGUGAAUCAAACUGCCCACAACAGACAGGAGAGUGCACUUGUGACCAAAUAAACUCCUGAAAUGCUGAGCAAAAGGUAGUGGAACAGAUGGAGAUUUGAAACCACAACUGUGGAAACAGACCUGCAUAGGGUCAAGCCAGUUGGUGUGAUGCUAGAGAGGAAGAAGGGGAGAUACAUUUCAAUAGGAGCCUGGAGUUUAGCGCUUGGGAAAAGAAUGCUGCAUCUUUGGGACUUCGCUCCUAGUUGAUAAGGAUGAAACCAUUUCAGAAUGCCUGUGGUGUGUGCUCAUGAGCAAUGCCGAGACCGGAAGCUUCUAGUAGGCCUGAGGCACAUUGAGCUCGCAUCUUUGGUACAAUGACUGACACAAGUUACAGUAGAAGAAAGAACUAUAGACUAUCAUUCAUUGGCCAUGGACCUCCAUCAUUGAAGAAGCCAUCUAAGAUCCCAUGUACUGUAAAGGAAGCCUUGAGAGGCAUAGCUAAGAUUGGAUGUAAUGGCAUGUGGAACAGUUUAAGCAGUCAAUGACCUUUUAUUUUUCUUUCAACUCCAAUAUAGUCAGCAGAGUAUAAACAAGAUGAGAAUUCAGCAGAACACAUGUAUUAUAAUUGAUUGACAAAAUAAAGAUGAUUUCUGCUAA
RNAcentral lists this long non-coding RNA (942 nucleotides) under Mus musculus (house mouse). RNAcentral describes it as "RIKEN cDNA D130079A08 gene". The record is from RNAcentral. Lineage: Eukaryota; Metazoa; Chordata; Mammalia; Rodentia; Muridae.